GUCCAAAUCUCUUUAGUUUUCAAAAUCAGAUAAGGUCAGCAAAGGGUUACAACUUGCUGAGGUUCUUAUAUUUAAGUAGUACUUAAAAGAAACAUACUUGAAACUUGUUUUAACAAUGAUUCAGAAGAAAUACUUCAUAAUAAGCAUAAUCACGAAUGGAGCAUUUUUCUAUUCUUUAUUAAAGCAACUCAUUUUUAUUCCAGGAUACCAUAAGACCCGAAAGGGAGAAAAUAUAUGGCUAUUUUAAGAACUGUAUUAAAUUUAAGAUGAGUUUUUAAAUCAGCUUCCUUUUUUUAAAGCACAA
Pseudonaja textilis is the source of this 304-nucleotide non-coding RNA. Lineage: Eukaryota; Metazoa; Chordata; Lepidosauria; Squamata; Elapidae. The record is from RefSeq and is a predicted model, not a curated record.